AUCCAGCUGACGAGUCCCAAAUAGGACGAAACGCCGGUCCUGGAU
Molecule: non-coding RNA, 45 nt
Organism: Schistosoma mansoni
Lineage: Eukaryota; Metazoa; Platyhelminthes; Trematoda; Strigeidida; Schistosomatidae
Source: Rfam